AUACGUAGGGUGCAAGCGUUAAUCGGAAUUACUGGGCGUAAAGCGUGCGCAGGCGGUUUUGUAAGACAGUGGUGAAAUCCCCGGGCUCAACCUGGGAACUGCCAUUGUGACUGCAAGGCUGGAGGGCGGCAGAGGGGGAUGGAAUUCCGCGUGGAGCAGUGAAAUGCGUAGAUAUGCGGAGGAAAACCGAUGGCGAAGGCAAUCCCCUGGGCCUGCACUUACGCUCAUGCACGAAAGCGUUGGGAGCAAACAGGAUUAAAUACCCUGGUAGUCCACGCCCUAAACGAUGUCAACUGGUUGUUGGGGAUUUAUUUUCUCAGUAACGAAGCUAACGCGUGAAGUUGACCGCCUGGGGAGUACGGCCGCAAGGUUAAAACUCAAAGGAAUUGACGGGG
This 395-nucleotide ribosomal RNA is filed under the name uncultured bacterium. RNAcentral describes it as "partial 16S ribosomal RNA". It matches the Rfam family "Bacterial small subunit ribosomal RNA", at positions 523 to 918 of the family's 1533-position model. The record is from RNAcentral.